This is a long non-coding RNA of Mytilus californianus (California mussel), 457 nucleotides long. RefSeq lists it as uncharacterized. The transcript has 3 exons. NCBI's taxonomy places the organism in Eukaryota, Metazoa, Mollusca, Bivalvia, Mytilida, Mytilidae. The record is from RefSeq and is a predicted model, not a curated record.
UAAAAAUAAUAAUUCACGGAAAAAACAUAUCCUGGACCAAAUGUCCGACCAAUGAACAUAACUUUCAUUAUUAUGUCCUUGUCCGUCUUAUUUUAUGCUACACUAUUUAAAGGUAGACGUAAUACGUUUAGUUAUAUUAUACAUUGUUCAAAUAAGACAGGACUUCUGAACGAUGAAAGCCUACCUCGGUUUUUGCAUCUUAUUGAUAUGUUUGUCGGGUUUGGAGAAUACUGAUGCUCUUAAGUGCUUUAGAAGUUAUUGUCGUACCCGUGCAGAUUGCGAAUAUGGAUGUCGUGUCCGUAAUUGUGGCAUUAAAUAUGACUGCAAUGUCCAACAAAAGGAAUGCUGUUGUGAUGCUUGCAGCCCUAAUUAAUAACCAGGAAUACACAGAACAUCAAAUUGUUAACAUUACAGAAAAUGCGCGUAUACAUGAAUAUUAAAAUAUUGCAUCAGUCGA